GGGGAUGUGCCUUGAGGUGGGGAAUAACUGUGGGAAACUACAGCUAAUACCGCAUAAGCCCGAAAGGGGAAAGAUUUAUCGCCUUUAGAGCAACCCGCGUCAGAUUAGCUAGUUGGUAGGGUAAUGGCCUACCAAGGCGACGAUCUGUAGCUGGUCUGAGAGGAUGACCAGCCACACUGGGACUGAGACACGGCCCAGACUCCUACGGGAGGCAGCAGUGGGGAAUAUUGGACAAUGGGCGCAAGCCUGAUCCAGCCAUGCCGCGUGAGUGAUGACGGCCUUAGGGUUGUAAAGCUCUUUUAACAGGGACGAUAAUGACGGUACCUGUAGAAUAAGCCCCGGCAAACUUCGUGCCAGCAGCCGCGGUAAUACGAAGGGGGCUAGCGUUGUUCGGAAUUACUGGGCGUAAAGCGCACGUAGGCGGAUUGUUAAGUCGGGGGUGAAAUCCUGAGGCUCAACCUCAGAACUGCCUUCGAUACUGGCGAUCUUGAGUUCGGAAGAGGUUGGUGGAACAGCUAGU
This 520-nucleotide ribosomal RNA is filed under the name uncultured bacterium. RNAcentral's name for it is "bacterial SSU rRNA". It matches the Rfam family "Bacterial small subunit ribosomal RNA", at positions 120 to 674 of the family's 1533-position model. The record is from RNAcentral.